AUUUUCUUCACCAACGACCAUCAUCUCUCAGUCCAGCUAAUAACUUUGUAUCUGCGAUGGGAAAAGCAGCGUCAGCAGCCUCCGCUGGGUCAAGCGUGGCAUCAGGAGUGGGAGAAAUCGUUAGAUUUGUCGGGGAGGCGAGGGGCUGGGUCAAACACCACACCAUUGUGGCCAACGCAACUGACCAAACGAUCUACGUUAAAGUGACCGCUCCGCAGCAGUCCGUCAAGGAAGAAGUUCCACCAAAUAAUGCCGUAUCAUUCCAAACGGAUAAGGGUCAAGUCACUGUAAUGUUGUUUAGUGAUAGUAGCUAUAGCAAUUCAAUUACAACAAAAGUCUUGGAUUCUGAUCUCAGUGUCAUUGUCAAGAGUAGCAAUGGUCACCCAUAUAUAGUGAGGUCAAAGUAUGGCACAAUUUGGCAAGAGGCAUAAAUAGAGAGUAUUCACUAGCAGCAAUCGGGGGAAAUAUACCUGCUGUUGUCCUACUUGCCAUAUUAAAUUUGCUGCACUUUGACAAGUGGACUAAAGAGUCUUGCUUCCAUCUCUCAGCCCAUACUUUGGAAUAUGAUAGAUAGAUAGAUAGAUACUUUAUUGAUUCCCCAAGGGAAUAUGCUCUAUUUUGCCUCCAUCACUCAGCCCAUACUGUGGAAUAUGAUAGAUAGAUAGAUAGAUAGAUAGAUAGAUAGAUAGAUAGAUACUUUAUUGAUUCCCCCAAGGGAAUAUGCCCUAUUUUGCUUCCAUCACUCAGCCCAUACUUUGGAAUAUGCUCUAUAUGGAAUAUGCUCUAUAUGGAUUAAUAUACUCUAUAUGGAAUAUGCUCUGUAUGGAUGAAUAUGCUCUAUAUGGAUUAAUAUACUCUAUAUGGAAUAUGCUCUAUUUUGCUUCCAUCACUUUGGAAUAUGCUCUAUAUGGAAUAUGCUCUAUAUGGAUUAAUAUGCUCUAUAUGGAUUAAUAUGCUCUAUAUGGAUUAAUAUGCUCUAUAUGGAAUAUGCUCUAUUUUGCUUUUGCUGUCAUUCUCUGCACAUUUGUAAUGGUACAUAAUUACAUAAUUGCCGGACAAUAAUAACAUAAACUUUAAGCCUGACUGAAUCACUAGUAGGAGGAGUUGCAUUGUCCAUUAUGGUGUAAUUUCAAUAAAAUCUUU
Sardina pilchardus (European sardine) is the source of this 1143-nucleotide long non-coding RNA. RefSeq lists it as uncharacterized. The transcript is spliced from 3 exons. Lineage: Eukaryota; Metazoa; Chordata; Actinopteri; Clupeiformes; Clupeidae. The record is from RefSeq and is a predicted model, not a curated record.